GAUGAACGCUGGCGGCGUGCCUAAUACAUGCAAGUCGAGCGAACGGACGAGAAUCUUGCUUCUCUGAUGUUAGCGGCGGACGGGUGAGUAACACGUGUAUAACCUCCCUAUAAGACUGGGAUAACUUCGGGAAACCGUAUCUAAUACCGGAUAAUAUUUUGCACCGCAUGGUUCAAAAGUGAAAGACGGUCUUGCUGUCACUUAUAGAUGGAUCUGCGCUGGAUUAGCUAGUUGUUAAGGUACCGGCCUAUCAAGGCAACGAUGCCUAGCCGACCUGAGAGGGUGAUCAGCCACACUGGAACUGAGACACGGUCCAGACUCCUACGGGAGGCAGCAGUAGGGAAUCUUCCGCAAUGGGCGAAAGCCUGACGGAGAAACGCCGCGGGAGUGAUGAAGGUCUUCGGAUCGGAAAACUCUGUUAUUAGGGAAGAACAUAUGUGUAAGUAACUGUGCACAUCUUGACGGUAACUGAUCAGAAAGCCACGGCUAACUACGUG
This 497-nucleotide ribosomal RNA is filed under the name uncultured bacterium. Its description in RNAcentral is "partial 16S ribosomal RNA". It matches the Rfam family "Bacterial small subunit ribosomal RNA", at positions 28 to 507 of the family's 1533-position model. The record is from RNAcentral.